RNAcentral lists this ribosomal RNA (465 nucleotides) under uncultured bacterium. RNAcentral's name for it is "partial 16S ribosomal RNA". It matches the Rfam family "Bacterial small subunit ribosomal RNA", at positions 28 to 507 of the family's 1533-position model. The record is from RNAcentral.
GACGAACGCUGGCGGCGUGCUUAACACAUGCAAGUCGAACGGAAAGGCCCUGCUUGCAGGGUACUCGAGUGGCGAACGGGUGAGUAACACGUGGGUGAUCUGCCCUGCACUUCGGGAUACGCCUGGGAAACUGGGUCUAAUACCGGAUAGGAGCCAUUUUUAGUGUGAUGGUUGGAAAGUUUUUUCGGUGUAGGAUUAGCUCGCGGCCUAUCAGCUUGUUGGUGGGGUAAUGGCCUACCAAGGCGGCGACGGGUAGCCGGCCUGAGAGGGUGGACGGCCACACUGGGACUGAGAUACGGCCCAGACUCCUACGGGAGGCAGCAGUGGGGAAGAUUGCACAAUGGGCGCAAGCCUGAUGCAGCGAGGCCGCGUGGGGGAUGACGGCCUUCGGGUUGUAAACUCCUUUCGCGAGGGACGAAGCUUUUUGUGACGGUACCUAGAUAAGAAGCACCGGCUAACUACGUG